RNA transcript from Ailuropoda melanoleuca (giant panda), 3576 nucleotides. It is a transcript of the gene named tetratricopeptide repeat domain 13, with no coding region annotated. NCBI's taxonomy places the organism in Eukaryota, Metazoa, Chordata, Mammalia, Carnivora, Ursidae. The transcript has 24 exons. The record is from RefSeq and is a predicted model, not a curated record.
GCGGCGAGGGCCGCCGCACAUGCGCCUUGAGGAAAGAUGGCACCUGCCGGCUGCUGCUGCUGCUACUGCUGCUGGGGCGGCGCUGUGGCCGCCGUGGACGCCGCCCGGCGUGUCCUGGUGCUGCUGUUGCUGGGGGUCCUGUCCGCCGGGCCGUGCCCGGGCGCCCUGGCCACCGAGCACUACUCGCCGCUGUCGCUGCUCAAGCAGGAGCUGCAGCACCGGCAGCAGCAGGAGGCCCCGGCAGGCGGCGGCUGCAGCCCGCAGUCCGGGGACUGGGGAGACCAGUACUCGGUCGAGUGCGGCGAGUCCUCCUUUUUGAACUUCCACGACUCAGACUGCGAACCCAAAGGACCACCACCCUGUGACUCAUUGCUUUCCCUCAACACUGAAAAGAUUCUGAGCCAGGCCAAGUCUAUUGCAGAACAAAAGAGAUUCCCGUUUGCUACAGAUAACGACAGCACAAAUGAAGAACUAGCUAUUGCCUAUGUGUUGAUUGGCAGUGGACUCUAUGAUGAAGCGAUAAGACAUUUUUCAACAAUGCUUCAGGAGGAGCCUGAUCUGGUUAGUGCAAUUUAUGGCCGAGGGAUAGCCUAUGGAAAGAAGGGACUACAUGACAUUAAGAAUGCUGAGCUUGCUCUGUUCGAACUGAGCCGAGUAAUUACCUUGGAACCAGAUCGUCCAGAGGUAUUUGAACAGCGAGCAGAAAUUCUGUCCCCUCUGGGACGAAUUAAUGAAGCAGUGAAUGAUCUCACCAAAGCUAUCCAGCUGCAGCCCUCAGCACGGCUGUACAGACACCGGGGGACCCUGUACUUCAUAUCGGAGGACUAUGCAACAGCCCACGAAGACUUUCAGCAGUCCUUAGAACUGAACAAAAACCAGCCUAUAGCUAUGCUAUACAAAGGUCUAACUUUCUUUCACAGAGGACUUUUGAAGGAAGCUAUUGAAUCCUUCAAAGAAGCCUUAAAGCAGAAAGUUGAUUUUAUUGAUGCAUAUAAAAGUCUGGGACAGGCCUAUAGAGAACUGGGCAAUUUCGAAGCUGCCACCGAGAGCUUUCAGAAGGCACUGUUGCUCAACCAAAAUCACGUGCAGACCCUGCAGCUCCGGGGAAUGAUGCUUUAUCACCACGGCAGCCUGCAGGAAGCCCUGAAGAACUUCAAGCGGUGUCUGCAGCUCGAGCCCUAUAACGAGGUGUGCCAGUACAUGAAGGGACUCAGCCACGUGGCCAUGGGACAGUUCUAUGAAGGAAUAAAAGCGCAGACUAAAGUCAUGCUAAAUGAUCCUCUCCCGGGCCAGAAGGCUAGCCCAGAGUAUCUGAAAGUGAAAUAUCUCCGCGAGUAUUCUCGAUAUCUUCACGCACACCUCGAUACUCCUCUUACGGAAUAUAACAUCGACGUGGAUCUGCCUGGAAGCUUUAAAGACCAUUGGGCUAAAAAUCUGCCUUUCCUCAUAGAAGACUAUGAAGAGCAGCCAGGGUUGCAGCCCCACAUAAAAGACGUGUUACAUCAGAACUUUGAGAGUUAUAAGCCUGAGGUACAAGAGCUCAUCUGUGUAGCUGAUCGUUUGGGAUCACUGAUGCAAUAUGAGACACCUGGUUUCCUGCCAAACAAGAGAAUACACAGAGCCAUGGGUUUGGCAGCAUUGGAGGUCAUGCAAGCUGUCCAGCGGACGUGGACCAACUCAAAAGUUCGAAUGAAUGGGAAAACACGGCUAAUGCAGUGGAGAGACAUGUUUGACAUCGCAGUAAAGUGGAGACGGAUUGCUGACCCAGACCAGCCAGUGUUGUGGUUAGAUCAAAUGCCAGCACGAAGCCUUAGCAGAGGUUUUAACAACCACAUCAAUUUAAUCAGGGGUCAGGUGAUUAACAUGAGAUACCUGGAAUAUUUUGAGAAGAUUCUUCAUUUUAUUAAAGAUAGAAUUCUUGUUUAUCACGGAGCUAAUAAUCCUAAAGGACUGUUGGAAGUUAGAGAAGCUCUGGAAAAGGUACACAAAGUAGAAGACCUUCUUCCAAUUAUGAAGCAGUUUAAUACUAAAACAAAGGAUGGGUUCACGGUGAACACAAAAGUUCCCAGCCUCAAAGAUCAAGGGAAGGAAUAUGAUGGAUUCACGAUCACAAUUACAGGAGACAAGGUUGGCAACAUACUGUUUUCUGUGGAAACGCAAACCACAGAAGAAAGAACACAAUUCUAUCAUGCUGAGAUAGACGCACUUUAUAAAGACCUCACAGCAAAAGGAAAAGUACUGAUUCUUUCAUCAGAAUUUGGGGAGGCUGAUGCUGUUUGCAACUUAAUCUUAUCCUUAGUUUAUUACUUUUAUAAUUUAAUGCCACUCUCUCGAGGAUCCAGCGUAAUAGCUUACUCCGUGAUCGUGGGAGCAUUGAUGGCAAGUGGAAAGGAAGUAGCAGGAAAAAUCCCCAAAGGGAAGUUAGUUGACUUUGAAGCUAUGACAGCCCCUGGUUCAGAGGCCUUUAGCAAAAUAGCCAAAAGCUGGAUGAACCUAAAAAGGUUCGGUAUUCAGGAAGGAACUUGAAAACUGUGAGCUGCGCCCAUUUCAGACGUGCCCUGAGUGGGAGCACACUUUUACUGCACAGUAGAUUUUGAGAAGGUGGCACUUCACAGUAACGUAGGCGAGGAGUGCAUUAUUUCACCUUCUUAUAAGGCUCUCCCAUCUGUGUCAGAGACGUUCCCGACAUUAAGAUCAAUGAUCGAGGUGCUAAACACUGACUCCUCUCCACGUUGUCUUAAGAAACUCUAGUUAUGCUGUGGUAUUUAUACGAGUAAAGGGCCGGACCUCUUGCUUCUUAAGUUAUUUUUUAAAACAUGGAAUUAUAAAGAAACUAGGUCCUUUAUUACUUUUGAUACCAAUUUUUGAUAGGAAUUGAAUACUUGAAAUCAUUUUCUUUACUUUUCGAACCAUAACAAAAAUCAUGAAAGAGGGUUUUUUUGGGGGAAAAAAAGCUCUAUGUUGGGGCAGGAAAGUGUGUGUAGAGGCCAGCGGCCUUGUUGUUUUCCACUUAAGGUCCUAAAACUCCUUCCUCACAGCAAAAAAGUUGACUUCAAAAACAAAAAUUAAUCAUUAAAAGGAACAAAACCAACAACAAAAUGGGAGUGUUUUCAUUCCUUGAAAGAUUUAGAGAUUUUUCAAGGCCUUUUUAUGCACAUUGUGAUAGGGCAUCGUGUUUUUCCCUCGCAUAAUCUUCACGAGUGGGUUCUCCCUUCUGUUUGAACGAUGAAGAUUCGUGGGCCGUCCUGUGCGCUGUCCCCGUGCGCCGCCAAGCUCACUGCCGCACUCACCGCUGCAAACGUUUGUUUUGAAUGAUGCAGACAGUAUUUGCCAGUGACCCAAACACUGAAUUAUUGAACCAUGUUUUUUUUUUCUCUGUGUUGGAAAAAAUAAACGAGGGGUGAUUUCUAUAAAUCACCAGUUUUUGACACUGGAUUAUGUAUGCUUUUGUUUUGUGAACUAGUUUUGCUUUCAGGUGUAAGAACUUCCAGAACAUGAUGGAUUUUUUUUUUCUCCCAAGAGAGGGUAAAUGACAGUGAGUAAAAUGGGUUCAUUAAAUUGUUGCCAUUUCCAAAU